UGGAUACUCUUCAUAUGGAGCUGUUAGUGUUCCAGGAUAUUUCACGGAAUAUGAAAGAUCUCAUUACAUUUAUGAUCUAAACUGUGAUGGUAAUGAGUCGAGUAUCUGGAAUUGCUCUUAUGAUACGUUAAAUAGCAAUAAUUGCAAUGAACAACAAGAUGCUUCAGUUUAUUGCCAAGAUAUUAGUACCCUAAAGGCAGAUUGUACUGAUGGUGAUGUUAGAUUAGUUGGUGGUAGUACAGAAUAUGAAGGAAGAGUUGAAGUAUGCAUUAAUAAAGCAUGGGGCACAAUCUGUAAAUCUGGCUGGAAUGAAAAUGAUAUUCAUGUAGCCUGCAGACAGCUUGGACAUGCAG
Amphimedon queenslandica is the source of this 353-nucleotide long non-coding RNA. RefSeq lists it as uncharacterized. The transcript has 3 exons. NCBI's taxonomy places the organism in Eukaryota, Metazoa, Porifera, Demospongiae, Haplosclerida, Niphatidae. The record is from RefSeq and is a predicted model, not a curated record.